AAUCAACGCUGGCGGCGUGCCUAACACAUGCAAGUCGAACGAGAAAGGGGACUUCGGUCCCUGAGUACAGUGGCGCACGGGUGAGUAACACGUGACUUAUCUACCCUCGAGUGGGGAAUAACUUCGGGAAACCGAGGCUAAUACCGCAUAAUACCCACGGGUCAAAGGAGCAAUUCGCUUGAGGAGGAGGUCGCGGCCGAUUAGUUAGUUGGCGGGGUAAUGGCCCCACCCAAGACGGUGAUCGGUAUCCGGCCUGAGAGGGCGCAUGGACACACUGGAACUGAAACACGGUCCAGACUCCUACGGGAGGCAGCAGUGGGGAAUUUUGCGCAAUGGGGGAAACCCUGACGCAGCAACGCCGCGUGGAGGAUGAAGUCUCUUGGGACGUAAACUCCUUUCGAUCGGGACGAUUAUGACGGUACCGGAAGAAGAAGCCCCGGCUAACUUCGUG
Molecule: ribosomal RNA, 451 nt
Filed under: uncultured bacterium
Lineage: Bacteria
Description: bacterial SSU rRNA
Rfam family: Bacterial small subunit ribosomal RNA
Source: RNAcentral